This 791-nucleotide ribosomal RNA is filed under the name uncultured archaeon. RNAcentral's name for it is "bacterial SSU rRNA". It matches the Rfam family "Archaeal small subunit ribosomal RNA", at positions 85 to 879 of the family's 1478-position model. The record is from RNAcentral.
ACUGCUCAGUAACACGUAGUCAACAUGCCCAGGGGACGUGGAUAACCUCGGGAAACUGAGGAUAAACCGCGAUAGGUCAUAAUGUCUGGAAUGAUUUAUGGCUAGAAUCUACAUGGCCCCUGGAUUGGACUGCGGCCGAUCAGGCUGUUGGUGAGGUAAUGGCCCACCAAACCUAAAACCGGUACGGGCUCUGAGAGGAGAAGCCCGGAGAUGGGCACUGAGACAAGGGCCCAGGCCCUAUGGGGCGCAGCAGGCGCGAAAACUCUGCAAUAAGCGAAAGCUUGACAGGGUUAUUCUGAGUGAUUUCCGCUAAGGAGAUCUUUUGGCACCUCUAAAAAUGGUGCAGAAUAAGGGGUGGGCAAGCCUGGUGUCAGCCGCCGCGGUAAUACCAGCACCCCGAGUGGUCGGGACGAUUAUUGGGCCUAAAGCAUCCGUAGCCGGUUCUACAAGUCUUCCGUUAAAUCCACCUGCUUAACAGUUGGGCUGCAGAGGAUACUAUAGAGCUAGGAGGCGGGAGAGGCAAGCGGUACUUAGUGGGUAGGGGUAAAAUCCGUUGAUCCACUGAAGACCACCAGUGGCGAAGGCGGCUUGCCAGAACGCGCUCGACGGUGAGGGAUGAAAGCUGGGGGAGCAAACCGGAUUAGAUACCCGGGUAGUCCCAGCUGUAAACGAUGCAGACUCGGUGAUGAAUAGGCUUCGUGCCUAUUCAGUGCCGCAGGGAAGCCGUUAAGUCUGCCGCCUGGGGAGUACGGGCGCAAGACUGAAACUUAAAGGAAUUGGCGGGGGAGCAC